AGACGGAGGGUCCUAGCGUUGUUCGGAAUAACUGGGCGUAAAGGGUACGUAGGCGGUUUGGUCAGUUAGAUGUGAAAGCCCAGGGCUCAACCUUGGAACUGCAUUUAAUACUGCCAGACUUGAGAUCGGAAGAGGAAAGCGGAAUUCUUAGUGUAGAGGUGAAAUUCGUAGAUAUUAGGAGGAACAUCAGAGGCGAAGGCGGCUUUCUGGUCCGAUACUGACGCUGAGGUACGAAAGCGUGGGGAGCAAACAGGAUUAGAAACCCCAGUAGUCC
Molecule: ribosomal RNA, 274 nt
Filed under: uncultured bacterium
Lineage: Bacteria
Description: partial 16S ribosomal RNA
Rfam family: Bacterial small subunit ribosomal RNA
Source: RNAcentral